CCGGCCACCAGACACUUGCUGCCAGCUGGAGGGUCUUUGGCAGUGUUGCCCAACUCGAGCCAUUUCACUGUUUUGGUCAACUCCACAGUUUUGCAUUUGUCCAUUUGACGUCAUGAAGCGAAACCUGGACCCUACAGAGGUUGCAAAGAUGGUCAAACUUCUCCAGGAUGGCAGAUCAAUGUCUUUGCCAGAAGGUUUGCUAUGUGUCCCAGCACAAAUUUUAAAACCCUUUUCUUUUUCCACAUAAAUAGCCUCAAAUAUGAGUGCUCCGGUUUGCUUCAGAUGACUGCAAUAAAAGCAGGGAAAAGAAGAGCUUUCCUUGCUAAAGUAGUAAAGGAGCCCUUCUCUACAUCACACGUUGACCAAGUUUUUUAGCAACAGGAAACUCAUGUGUUGCAAUGAUAACUCACUGAAGCUCAUUUACUUGCUAAUAGUAGCUGUGUUUCUACACAACGUACUGAUUGUAACUCAAUCAAUCAAUUAAUCAAUCAAUCAAUUUAUUUAUAAGCACAUUCAAAAACAACACAGGUUGCUGCACAUAGUAAAAAAGUAAAAAGUAGAUCAAAGAUACACAAAGAACAAGACAAAACUCACUAACUAACUGAUCUCAGAGCAAUGAAAGCAUAUCCAGCAGCACCUUGCCACACACGCUGGUCCCCCUUUAGGUCAAGCACUGCUUCUGGGUCCUGACAGAACCCCACUGUGGGGUUCUGUCCCCACAGUAUCUGAGAGCAGCUCUGAUACUGAAGGACCCGUUCCACCCCAGCAAUAAACUGUUCCGGCUUCUGCAAUCAGGCAGAAGGUUCCGCACCAUCCGGACAAGAACAGAGGGGCCCACAACCAACCAUAACAAACUCAGACAGGGCUCACUUAUUCCUAGUCCCAUUUCAUGCCUGAUCCUUCUGACUUCAUUGCGGCACAAGCCACUUUAACACCCCACUCACACAAUGUACAUUCCCAAAUUUUGAACUGUAAAUUUCCAGAUUGUUUUAUUCUAUUUGACAUGAACGUAUAUAAUUCACUCACUUAUUGCACAUGUCCUCUUUGUAUAUAUCUACUUACUUACUGUAUAUAAUGUUUUUUCUCUCUCUAUUUUGCACAGUCGAGGAGCGCAUCAGGUCACAUUUCUCUACGUGUUAUACUUAUAUAACCAUGUACGUGACAAAUAAAAGGAUCUUGAAUCUUGAAUCUGCGGUAACGUUAAUUCAGACUGAACCAUUUGUCUAGUAGUUUGAAUAGUAUGAUGAUUUCACUGGUCCACAGUGUGGUCACAAGAUAACAUACACACACAAGAUAAAAACACUUCAGUUUUUCAGAUAGAACAUAUCUUCUUUUCCUUCCUAUGUUGAUUCCACUGAAAGCCACAGUUUUUUAUGCAUGACACUGAGCAUGAAGGAUGUGGUCUCACCAUGAAAAUUAAUGAGACAGCAAAAUAGAGAUAUAGGAAGUGAUGCAUGCUGGUAUAAAAACUUAAAACUUUAUUGUUGUUUCAAAAAUUUAUCACAAAUAACUAUUUGCAGCCCACAUUGUUACUGUAUGUACAUUGUACAUUUAUGACUGACACUUUCAGCCACUGUUAGUGUUUCUAGAUGGUCUAAAAGCUAAGAUUAUAAUCACCACAUGUCCUUUUUCUUUUUGUUGUAUAUGUUUUUCAAUUUUAAAAAAAAAUGCUUCUUGGACAUCAACUUUAGUUGUGGUUAGUCCCAUCCACUGCAGGAAACUAAAGCAGCUACAAAAUAUUAAAAACUUUUAUAGGACACAAUCACCCUGAUGGUUUUUGGAUUACUGGUAUUUAAAUGUCAUGGCGCCCCUAGUGGCAGACAUGUUUGCAACGCGAUACUGCUUACAGGGAAGAGGUGGCUCAGCUGGUGUCCUGGUGCCUGGAAAAGAAUCGCUCCUUAAAUGCUGAGAAGACUAAGGAGAUGAUUAUUGACCCAAGGACGAGCACGCCCCACUAUACAUCAACGGGACUCAGGUGGAGAGGGUGAAGACCUUCAAAUUCCUCGGCACCCACAUCAGUGAGGAUCUCAACUGGACCCAUAACACACAGCAGAUCAUCAAGAAGGCUCAACAAUGACUCAUCUUCCUAAGGAAGCUGAGGAAAUUUGGAUUAACUUCCAAACCGCUCAGCAACUUUUACAGAUGCACAGUGGAGGGUAUCCUGACAAACUGCAUCAUGGGAACAGCACCACCCAGGACAGGAAGGCUCUCCAACGUGUUAUUAAAACAGCACAAUUCAUCUGUGGAGUACUCCUCACACCACUUCAGGACAUUUACCACACCCAGGUCAGAAAAAGGGCACAGAAUAUCAUUAAGGACAGAACACACAAUUCACACUCCUGCCAUCUGGCUGACGCUACAGGAGUUUGAAAGCAAGGACAACCAGACUAAAACACAGUUUCUAUCCACAGGCCACCAGGCAGCUGAAUCACUGACUAAUUGUUGAACUGUAGUUAUCUUUAACCUGUAAUUCGCAAUUUUGUACAUUUAUAUACAACAUAAUACAACUUCAUACAAUAUAAACAUUUUAAUAUUGCAUAUUCUGCAUAUAUUACCACUGUGACAGUGUUGCAUCUACUUGCACUUUAAAUUCUGACUACCCACACAUAAGCUACAUAAGCACUUGUUUUACUUUAUUUUUUUAUUUUCUAUCUCAGAAUUAAGUUAUUCUUUAUUUUAGUUAGUUGUUUAUUUAAUUUUGUGAAGGGAACCUGCAAAGUAAGAAUUUCAUUGCUCUGUGUAACCACUUGGAUUUUGUGGUGUAUAUGACAAUAAACUUCUUGAAUAUCUUGAAUCUUGAAUUUAGUUGUGGUCACUGAAGACCACAAAAGAGUUUCUACAGGUACAAAUCUGUAAACAUGUAACGUGUCUGUUUGCAAAAAGAACGUUAUUUUUAAUCAAGUGUUAAUUUCCCACAAAGUUCAAUCUGUUCAUCGUGCCUUUUCAGUGGGAGAAACUGUUCGUAACUCAACCAAGUGACUUCUUCAGUAUCAGCUCACAGUGGUUAUGACAACGGGAUAUUAACUGACCCCAAGGCCAAUUGUUAGCCAGUAGUCAGUAUAUUUUAAUGCAGAACAUUUAAACUUUUAUUGUAAUAAAACAGAAUUUGUCUAUUCUGUAGUGUUAAUAUUUUUAGUAUUGAGAAUAGAAUACUUCUUCUACAACUGUAAAA
This is a long non-coding RNA of Oreochromis niloticus (Nile tilapia), 3172 nucleotides long. RefSeq lists it as uncharacterized. Lineage: Eukaryota; Metazoa; Chordata; Actinopteri; Cichliformes; Cichlidae. The transcript is spliced from 2 exons. The record is from RefSeq and is a predicted model, not a curated record.